GAUGAACGCUGGCGGCGUGCCUAAUACAUGCAAGUCGAGCGAACGGACGAGAAGCUUGCUUCUCUGAUGUUAGCGGCGGACGGGUGAGUAACACGUGGAUAACCUACCUAUAAGACUGGGAUAACUUCGGGAAACCGGAGCUAAUACCGGAUAAUAUUUUGAACCGCAUGGUUCAAAAGUGAAAGACGGUCUUGCUGUCACUUAUAGAUGGAUCCGCGCUGCAUUAGCUAGUUGGUAAGGUAACGGCUUACCAAGGCAACGAUGCAUAGCCGACCUGAGAGGGUGAUCGGCCACACUGGAGCUGAGACGCGGUCAAGACUCCUACGGGAGGCAGCAGUAGGGAAUCUUCCGCAAUGGGCGAAAGCCUGACGGAGCAACGCCGCGUGAGUGAUGAAGGUCUUCGGAUCGUAAAACUCUGUUAUUAGGGAAGAACAUAUGUGUAAGUAACUGUGCACAUCUUGACGGUACCUAAUCAGAAAGCCACGGCUAACUACGUG
RNAcentral lists this ribosomal RNA (497 nucleotides) under uncultured bacterium. Its description in RNAcentral is "partial 16S ribosomal RNA". It matches the Rfam family "Bacterial small subunit ribosomal RNA", at positions 28 to 507 of the family's 1533-position model. The record is from RNAcentral.